RNAcentral lists this ribosomal RNA (1495 nucleotides) under Salmonella enterica subsp. enterica serovar Enteritidis. RNAcentral describes it as "partial 23S ribosomal RNA". It matches the Rfam family "Bacterial large subunit ribosomal RNA", at positions 161 to 1697 of the family's 2925-position model. The record is from RNAcentral. Lineage: Bacteria; Pseudomonadati; Pseudomonadota; Gammaproteobacteria; Enterobacterales; Enterobacteriaceae.
AAUCCAUAGGUUAAUGAGGCGAACCGGGGGAACUGAAACAUCUAAGUACCCCGAGGAAAAGAAAUCAACCGAGAUUCCCCCAGUAGCGGCGAGCGAACGGGGAGGAGCCCAGAGCCUGAAUCAGCAUGUGUGUUAGUGGAAGCGUCUGGAAAGGCGCGCGAUACAGGGUGACAGCCCCGUACACAAAAGCGCAUGUGCUGUGAGCUCGAUGAGUAGGGCGGGACACGUGGUAUCCUGUCUGAAUAUGGGGGGACCAUCCUCCAAGGCUAAAUACUCCUGACUGACCGAUAGUGAACCAGUACCGUGAGGGAAAGGCGAAAAGAACCCCGGCGAGGGGAGUGAAAAAGAACCUGAAACCGUGUACGUACAAGCAGUGGGAGCACCCUUUGGGUGUGACUGCGUACCUUUUGUAUAAUGGGUCAGCGACUUAUAUUCUGUAGCAAGGUUAACCGAAUAGGGGAGCCGGAGGGAAACCGAGUCUUAACCGGGCGUUAAGUUGCAGGGUAUAGACCCGAAACCCGGUGAUCUAGCCAUGGGCAGGUUGAAGGUUGGGUAACACUAACUGGAGGACCGAACCGACUAAUGUUGAAAAAUUAGCGGAUGACCUGUGGCUGGGGGUGAAAGGCCAAUCAAACCGGGAGAUAGCUGGUUCUCCCCGAAAGCUAUUUAGGUAGCGCCUCGUGAAUUCAUCUCCGGGGGUAGAGCACUGUUUCGGCUAGGGGGCCAUCCCGGCUUACCAACCCGAUGCAAACUGCGAAUACCGGAGAAUGUUAUCACGGGAGACACACGGCGGGUGCUAACGUCCGUCGUGAAGAGGGAAACAACCCAGACCGCCAGCUAAGGUCCCAAAGUCAUGGUUAAGUGGGAAACGAUGUGGGAAGGCCCAGACAGCCAGGAUGUUGGCUUAGAAGCAGCCAUCAUUUAAAGAAAGCGUAAUAGCUCACUGGUCGAGUCGGCCUGCGCGGAAGAUGUAACGGGGCUAAACCAUGCACCGAAGCUGCGGCAGCGACACUGUGUGUUGUUGGGUAGGGGAGCGUUCUGUAAGCCUGUGAAGGUGUGUCGUGAGGCAUGCUGGAGGUAUCAGAAGUGCGAAUGCUGACAUAAGUAACGAUAAAGCGGGUGAAAAGCCCGCUCGCCGGAAGACCAAGGGUUCCUGUCCAACGUUAAUCGGGGCAGGGUGAGUCGACCCCUAAGGCGAGGCCGAAAGGCGUAGUCGAUGGGAAACGGGUUAAUAUUCCCGUACUUGGUGUUACUGCGAAGGGGGGACGGAGAAGGCUAUGUUGGCCGGGCGACGGUUGUCCCGGUUUAAGCGUGUAGGUGUGUGUUCCAGGUAAAUCCGGUUCACUUUAACACUGAGGCGUGACGACGAGGCACUACGGUGCUGAAGCAACAAAUGCCCUGCUUCCAGGAAAAGCCUCUAAGCAUCAGGUAACAUCAAAUCGUACCCCAAACCGACACAGGUGGUCAGGUAGAGAAUACCAAGGCGCUUGAGAGA